UUGUAAANCUGGGUAACUUCCCCUNUUGUAGUAGGUAAGUGGAACUCCAUGAUGUAGCGGUGGAAUGCNUAAAUAUAUGGAAGAACACCAGCUGGCGAAGGCGGCUUACUGGACAACAACUGACGUUGAGGCUCGAAAGUGUGGGUAGCAAACAGGAUUAGAUACCCUGGUAGUCCACACCGUAAACGAUGAAUACUAGGUGUUAGGAGGUUUCCGCCUCUUAGUGCCGAAGCUAACGCAUUAAGUAUUCCGCCUGGGGAGUACGACCGCAAGGUUGAAACUCAAAGGAAUUGACGGGGACCCGCACAAGCGG
This 313-nucleotide ribosomal RNA is filed under the name uncultured bacterium. RNAcentral's name for it is "bacterial SSU rRNA". It matches the Rfam family "Bacterial small subunit ribosomal RNA", at positions 616 to 932 of the family's 1533-position model. The record is from RNAcentral.